GAGUAGAUUGCAGCUGAAACCGCUGGGAGCCGCAAGGCAGGCGUCUAGGCUGUGGUUUAUGACUGGGGUGAAGUCGUAACAAGGUAGGUGUACCGGAAGGUGCGCCUGGAUCACCUCCUUUCUAU
This 125-nucleotide ribosomal RNA is filed under the name Deinococcus radiophilus. RNAcentral's name for it is "partial 16S ribosomal RNA". It matches the Rfam family "Bacterial small subunit ribosomal RNA", at positions 1408 to 1533 of the family's 1533-position model. The record is from RNAcentral. Lineage: Bacteria; Thermotogati; Deinococcota; Deinococci; Deinococcales; Deinococcaceae.